GAUCAUCUGGUAGACCAGGCAGAAGAGGUGACUGCACUCUUGACCUCUCUCUCCGGGAGUUUUUAGUCUUGUGUGCGUGAGGAUUAAUGUCCGGCUGGAUGCAAAUUUUUGAUCCUGAGACAAACUUUCUUGCCCCUACUACUGUCUUAAACCCUGAGUCAACCUUGCAAUAGCAUGACACGGAAUCAACCAGUGGAGCUUGAACUCUAAAACCCCUUUGUGCAUUUGGAGACCUCUCAAUUGUUUGGUCCAUUUUUGAAAUGAAAAUUUCAUACACAAAGAUUCUGGU
Molecule: unclassified non-coding RNA, 289 nt
Filed under: Hevea brasiliensis (rubber tree)
Lineage: Eukaryota; Viridiplantae; Streptophyta; Magnoliopsida; Malpighiales; Euphorbiaceae
Source: RNAcentral